CGUAACAAGGUCUCCGUUGGUGAACCAGCGGAGGGAUCAUUACCGAGUACUACACUCAUAACCCUUUGUGAACCAUUAUACCUGUUGCUUCGGCGGCGUCCCUCGCGGGCGCCCGCCGGUCUCAUCAGAAUCUCUGUUUUCGAACCCGACGAUACUUCUGAGUGUUCUUAGCGAACUGUCAAAACUUUUAACAACGGAUCUCUUGGCUCCAGCAUCGAUGAAGAACGCAGCGAAACGCGAUAUGUAAUGUGAAUUGCAGAAUUCAGUGAAUCAUCGAAUCUUUGAACGCACAUGGCGCCUUCCAGUAUCCUGGGAGGCAUGCCUGUCCGAGCGUCGUUUCAACCCUCGAGCCCUCGUGGCCCGGCGUUGGGGAUCUGCCACGGCAGGCCCCGAAAUACAGUGGCGGACCCGUUAGGCCCUUCCUUUGCGUAGUAGCAUUAGCCUCGCAUCGGGAGCCGGCGGGCUCUCCUGCCUCUAAACCCCCCAACAAGCCCGCUCCGGCGGCACCAAGGUUGACCUCGGAUCAGGUAGGAAUACCCGCUGAACUUAAGC
RNAcentral lists this unclassified non-coding RNA (552 nucleotides) under Brunneochlamydosporium nepalense. RNAcentral's name for it is "Acremonium nepalense sequence contains 18S rRNA gene, ITS1, 5.8S rRNA gene, ITS2". The stretch from base 183 to 336 matches the Rfam family "5.8S ribosomal RNA". The record is from RNAcentral. Lineage: Eukaryota; Fungi; Ascomycota; Sordariomycetes; Glomerellales; Plectosphaerellaceae.